GGCGGCGGCGGCUGCGGCGGCGAGGCUGAGCAAUGUGAGGCGACCGCCUGGGAAGGGGAGGUGCCUGCACUGUGCUCUUGGGGGUGUGGCAAACAUGGUCCCACGUGGGGAGUGAAGGUCGAGGGGGGCGGAGUUAGCUCUCUUGCGGUCCGCUUGUCUCCACCGCCCACCCUUGGCGGAGAAAAAGCGGGUCGUUCUUUUCCUCCCCCGCGCCGGAGCACCAGGUAUGUAUGUGGAUUCUGACCAGAGUUUAUAUAAUUGACACAAGAAUUACCAAACCUGCAGGAGCAAAUUCUACUUUGAAACAAGGAUUGGACAUACAUCAAAAUAUCCAACAGUUGUGGAAAAAUAUCAUGUGAGUGAGGGUCAAUUAUAAUAUUGGGUCACACUAAAAAUGGCAACUAAACUACUGAGAUUCCUAAAUAAUUUCCCUCACAAAAUAUGCCAGUGCCAACACCUUCAUAAAUACGGGUUUUUAGCAUCAAAAUAUCCUCAAGGGAGAUCAAGCAAUUCUCUCUCUGCAAACAGAUUUAUCCGUCUGUGCAUUCCAAAGGCAACUGCUUCUUGCUUAACUAAUGCUGGUGUGCAAGCCAAGAAUUGGCAGAGACCACAAGCUGUUAUUACAACUGCAGCAAAGACUGUGAAUGACUUGAAUAUGGGUUUUUAUCCUCCAUCCAAGGAAAGAUUCUGUACUCUUAGACCUGCAAGUUACAAGUACAAUUCAAAGUGUGUUAGAAAACUUAUUGAUAUACCAAGUAGACAUUAUUCAGUUUUAUCAACUGGUAAAACUAUGCCAGAUCAAAGUAUUGUGCCAGUUAAAAGACCACCAAAGGCAUCUAGGACCAAGCAGCCAUCUAGAGCUAAUCUACCAUUACCAUCUGAAACUGAGGAUCUGAUGCAGUGCACAGCCUUUGCAACAGCAGAUGAAUAUCAUCUUGGUAACCUAUGCCAUGACCUAAUGUCAUAUGGAUAUGUUGAAAUAACAUCGUUACCUAGAGAUGCCGCAAAUGUUUUGGUUAUUGGCACAGAAAACUCAGCAAAACAAUAUGAUCCUGGGAUGAUUUUUUUCUUCAGGGAAGGGUCUGUGGUGUUCUGGAACGUUGAAGAGAAAACGGUGAAGAAUAUAAUGCAGGUGCUGGAAAGGCAUGAAAUUCAACCUUAUGAAGUUGCACUAAUUCAUUGGGAGAAUGAAGAGAUUAACUACAGGAGGGGAGAAGGGCAGUCGAAGCUUCACAGAGGAGAAAUUCUGAUAAAUUCACAACUGGAUACUGAUGAAGUCACUCUAGAGAAGUUUGCCUUUUCAAACGCUCUUUGCCUUUCUGUAAAACUGGCCAUUUGGGAAGCAUCAUUGGAUAACUUUGUAGAAUCCAUCCAGUCAAUACCAGAGAGACUUAAAUCAAGAAGAAAGGUGAAACUCUCUCAUGCUGAUGUAAUGCAGAAAAUUGGGGAACUGUUUGCCUUAAGGCACCACAUAAAUCUAAGUUCGGACUUGCUGAUUACUCCAGAUUUCUAUUGGGAUAGAGAACACCUUGAACAGCUUUAUGAUAAAACCUGUCAGCUUCUCAGUAUUAAUCGCAGAGUUAAGGUGGUGAAUGAAAAGCUUCAGCACUGCACAGAGCUGACAGACCUGAUGCGAAAUCACUUGAGUGAAAAACAUGCCCUGCGCUUGGAGUGGAUGAUUGUGGUACUGAUCACCAUAGAGAAGUCGAGUGACUUGGCAGAAGUCAAUGCCACCUCUUCCUUGGUAUUGUCACCAGUCUCCUUCCUUUACUGUGUAUCUGGUGGAGCAAGGGAAGUGGGAAGAUGCUCCUGCUAUUUUCCUAUAAAUAACAUUUAAAAAUCUUGGAAUACCUCCUUGUGUGUUGAUCUCUGCAUCCUGAGCAAAUGGUCAGGUCAUGUUUGAGCUUGGCAGAGUGAUUUUCUGAGAACUAUAGUGAAUGACAACUGUGAAGUAUGGGUGACAAGACUGUGGAGACCAUUCUAACAAUUUUGUUUGGAUUUCAGCUUUAUUCUUCACACUUUGGGAUAGUGCAGUAACUGUCACAAUAAAAUGCCCAGACUCUUGCUGCUUAUGAAAAGUUUUAAGUCAUUGAUGUUAGGCUAAAGUUUAAAUCAGUGGCUGUUGUGUCUAGGAAAUCAUGGUUUAGAAUAAAUCAGUUUUUGUUUAGGAUAUUUUAAAUUCUUUUUUUUUUUUUAAAGAAGAUUAUGAGACUGGUUUACCAAGGGUGCAUCCCACCUGGAGUUUCAUCUGCUAUGCUAAAGGGAUUCCCAGUGACCCAGUACAAUCUGUGCCAAAUUCAAAGUUUGAUCUUAUGAAAAUUGUGCCUCAUUAAAGGGGUACACUUUGUGUGAUCAUGAUCUUUAGAAUCAAGUGAAGUUUUUCCUAGAUUGUACACAGCAGGGGUGGAUGUAGGUUGUACACAGGAAAAUAGCAUGCUGGGGUGAAGGGGAGGCUGGACCCUUCUCUCUGAUAUGUGUAUGUAUGAGUUCCUGAAACAUUCAAGCAUUCGCAUUAACUCCCUCAUCUUCAGCCUGAAGUAGCAAAACUCCAGGAAGAACAUUUCUAUAUAUUCUGUUGAGUGUAUAAACUGAUUCUCAGACUGAGCCAGAAGCAGGUUUUCUAACUGAACCCAGACCAAGAAGUGGUUCAAAUGAGAACUAAAUCUCUAAACUCAUGUCCCAUUAAAAAGUUCAAAAUAAGUGCUUACUGAAGCCCAAGAGGUUCUUUUGAGGAUGUUGAAAGGGAGGGAGAAAAACACCAUCUCUGAGCCAUGAGAUAUUCAAGAGACUAUUCCCUAGGAAACUGUUGGAUAAGGGAGAUGAGAAGGUUCUGAGAGUCUCAUUUUUCCUAUACUUAUCAUCUUACCCUCAAGUACAAACUGCUUCUUUCAACAACAACAAAAAGCACAAAGACGUAGCUGCUUCACCUAGACUAUGGACAAAAGUGGAAUUACCAAAAACUUCAGUUCAAGUGAUAAACAGAGUAGCUGACUCACACAGGAAUUGGUCCUACUUGAAUUAUUUCUGAUUAAUUUAAUAACAAUUAAAGCAAGGAUACAAGAAUUCUCUUACUAGAAAAGACCAAGGUCAAGUAGUACAUAAACUCAUAGGUGGAUAUGAAAGCAAUGACUAUGUACUGUUUUGUCCCCAGCAAGCUGCCUCUGGGCAUGGAGUUUGUGUGUAACCAUUACAAGUAGUAGCUGAGAGAAGUGAAACAUUGUUCUCUAGUCCUUUCCUACCCAAACUAAUGAAUACCAUCUUAGCUGGUGGUUAUGUAUUACAGCUCCUCCUUUGAUGUCUAAGGCCUAAUAUGAAAGGGGAACAAAUUCUAUCUGCCUUCAAUAAUUGUUCAUUCUUCAUGUUUUGUUCCAGGCAGAAUGAAAAAUUGAAUUAGUUAUAAAAUUUCAUACACUUCUCCCUCUACCUUUAUAUAAUAUACAGAUACUUCCAUAGUGCAAGUGUUUUCAUUUGGAAACAAGAUAUUACAAUAAUUACAUAGUCUUUUCUCAUAGAAAGGUACCCUUUAUCACUUUAUAUGUUUCAUUUUUUGAGAUAAGAUGACCAGAACUCACAGUACUCCAAAGGGGACUGCUCCACAGAUUUAUAUAAUGGCAUCAUGCUUGUUGCAGUUCAUUCUUAGAGAUGAAAGAAAUAAAAAUGCAUUAAACCAA
This is an RNA transcript of Hemicordylus capensis (graceful crag lizard), 3671 nucleotides long. It is a transcript of the gene named required for meiotic nuclear division 1 homolog, with no coding region annotated. The record is from RefSeq and is a predicted model, not a curated record. The transcript is spliced from 14 exons. NCBI's taxonomy places the organism in Eukaryota, Metazoa, Chordata, Lepidosauria, Squamata, Cordylidae.